This is a long non-coding RNA of Mus musculus (house mouse), 678 nucleotides long. RefSeq annotates it as predicted gene, 33327. Lineage: Eukaryota; Metazoa; Chordata; Mammalia; Rodentia; Muridae. The transcript has 5 exons. The record is from RefSeq and is a predicted model, not a curated record.
UCCUGACGUGCAUAGUUAGGGUUGAGGCAUGACUUAACAGACACCAAAUUCCAAAGGGGCCGAAAUGUCCGAGUACCGUGAAGAACGGGACACACAUUCUGAAAAUCCUUAAAUUCCAGGUGUCAUCGCUGGGAAGGACUGUUGGUGGCCUCUCUCCUUUGGAAGCUUGUAUGAUACCUUCUGGAACCAAGAAAGCUGGUCCUAGCCAGGGAGAGGACAUCCGCUGUUUCCUGAAGCAAACACCGGGACCAAGUACACUCGGUUGUCUCACACACUCACAAUAAAAGUCUCUGGCCUAGGGUCCAAGUUCUGCUUGGUACAUCACGGAUGGCCCCUUCUGCCUCUGGCGUCUCCAGCGUCUUCUGUCUGGACUCCUCCUGGUGUACUAGCCUCUGGCCACAUGUCUUUCACUGGGACCAAGCACACUCAGUUGUCUCUCACACUCGAGCAAAAGUCUCUGGCCCCAGGGCAAUUCUGGAGACAAGAAAAACAUCAGUUCUUACUGCAGUUCCUACGCAGAGCGAUCAUCAUGAAGUGCUGAUGGAGAGCCCUUGGAAGAUGCUCGGGGAGGUGCACAUGAAAGCAAGUUAGGCUGGUGGCAGCAGCAGCUCUUCCAGAGCCUCUUUCAGGACAGCCUACCCCAUGCACAUGAAUGUGCACUCCUGAAAUAAAGCCUUC